ACGGAAGGUCCGGGCGUUAUCCGGAUUUAUUGGGUUUAAAGGGAGCGUAGGCCGGAGAUUAAGCGUGUUGUGAAAUGUAGAUGCUCAACAUCUGCACUGCAGCGCGAACUGGUUUCCUUGAGUACGCACAAAGUGGGCGGAAUUCGUGGUGUAGCGGUGAAAUGCUUAGAUAUCACGAAGAACUCCGAUUGCGAAGGCAGCUCACUGGAGCGCAACUGACGCUGAAGCUCGAAAGUGCGGGUAUCGAACAG
Molecule: ribosomal RNA, 251 nt
Filed under: uncultured bacterium
Lineage: Bacteria
Description: partial 16S ribosomal RNA
Rfam family: Bacterial small subunit ribosomal RNA
Source: RNAcentral